RNAcentral lists this non-coding RNA (696 nucleotides) under Pongo abelii (Sumatran orangutan). Lineage: Eukaryota; Metazoa; Chordata; Mammalia; Primates; Hominidae. The record is from RNAcentral.
AGCUAAGUGAUUGAUGGAGCUUCCGGAAGUCUUGGCGGCUGUACCGGCGCUAAUGUUCCUCCUUUUCCUGAGGUGGAGUGGGCCCAAGCGGUUUUCUAAUCACAGAAUUACUGGAGCGUCAAGAAGCGCCUGCAUGCUUGGAAGGGCUUCCAGGCAGAUGAACACACCUCAGCACCGGGUGGCAGUUUCCCAGGGUGCAACCCGGACCGGCUCUGGGUCACACUGACAAGCCUCUCCGACUCCCCAGGCUGGGUUGGGUGCUCCUCCCUCUCAUCCCACAGCGCUAUGUCUCAUGUCUUCUGGAAAACUUGCCAAUCCCUAGUGAUAACAAGGAUUAACAAUUUCCAGAGACAGCCCGUACAUAGAGGGAAAGUUUACUGAAAAAAAUGAAGAGGGGUCAGGGCAAGGCGAGGAGCAAGAAGCAUCCCCAAGGAAACAGAGAAGACCAGUACAACUGUACCUCUUUGCCAGCUGCACCAUCCGUACCAGUCUCCUGGGGUGGGAGUGUACAGCUCAGAGACUGCCACACUGCAAGACGAAGGGGCUGGAUGGACGGAAGUAAGAGGCGGAACCCUGCACACCCUCGGCCUCAGCCCCACUGAGUCUCCAAUGGGGCCACGCUUCUGAGUGCACCUCCCCCUGUCAUCUGUAAUGUGAGGGGGAACCAGGCUUGAUAUGGCAUUCCCAAUCCAGGGC